AAUUGAAAGAGGGACUAGGGUUACCUCGAUGCGCCGUUCCCAAUUCUCAGACUCUCUCCUUCCUCCUUCUCACGACGGCGCUAAGGCUUCAUCAUCUUCACCGGCCAAGAUUCUUCCCCCGCCACCGCCAAACAAACACACUCGAAACCCGUCUCUCAUCUCUCUCGAUCUCGAAUCAGUUUUCAAACUCUUUUUGCUAUCGAUCUCAAAUAGCUCUCACUUUCCGAUUUCUUCUUCUUCGUGCGUUUUCUCGGUUUGAUUCGAAGUUGACAGGCGGCGCAAGAUGAUGAUGUCGUAUGCGUUGAAUCACUGUUGAUGAUACGUUGAUGGAAAGAUGAAGCUCGCACUGAUGCGUGAAGAGAUGAAGAGUGGAACGCAUAUAGAUCGAAGAACAUGAAGAUCUUAUCGAAGAUCGAUGGUGGAAGAUUUAUCAUUGUUGAAGGGUUAUUGGUGAUGAAGAAGUGAAGAUGGUGAAGAUGAAAGAGAGUGGAGGCGGGGAAACAGAGUGAAGACGUGAAGAAGUGAAGAUGAUCAAUGUUGAGAUGCUGAGAACGGUGGAGGAUUAAAGUGAAGAGAGAUUGAAGUGAAUUGUGUGGAGUGAAUGAAGGGAUCGAAAAUGGUGGAGAUGGUGAGGUGAGUGUGGAGAGGGAUUGAAGUGAAGAUGAUGAUGGAGAAAGAAUGAAUUCAGGGAGAGAGCCCUGAAGACUGGAUCAAUGUUCAGUUAUAUAGAGUGCAGGUCUGACUCCAGUUCAGCAAUUUGUGAAGGUCAAGUGCAGGGUACAGCAUGGCACAUUUGCAGGGCAUUGACAUAAAGAAUGCUUGGAGAGUUCGAAAAAGUUUAUGGACAGCAACUGAUCAUGAAUGGAGACUAGUGGAGUUUAGCCCCUUGUAGCAAAAGUUUAAGCUUUUUCUUUGCAGUUUUGUAAUUUCUUUUGGUGUAAUGAUUGAAGCUUGUAGUGUACCUUCUGAAUGUGGGUGUUGACCCCCCCCCCUUUUUUGUAAUGUCGACUUCAACUUUUGUAAUGAAUCGGGCCUUUUGGUUAUGUAUGGGUCUUGAAUGAAUAUAUAAGUGUCGCUUUGAAUGGACAAAGCUUGAUUAGCGAACAAAAUCGUAUGGACUUAUUCUUCAAAUGAUAAGAAAAUUCCUCCGUUCUUUGAACAUAAUUUCCCAAGCCUUUAAGUGAAACUCUGAUUUUUCCAUAGCCUUGAUCCUAUGCCUGAUUAUUGAUCCAAUGAAUGUGCAAUGCGCUGAUGACCUAAUGCAAAUGAAUGAGAAGCUAUAAGCCAAUUAGGAAUAAUUAGAUGGGCAAAUUUUGGGGUGCGACAGCUGCCCCUAUUUAAUCAUCUUAAACCUGAAAGUGAGAUUGGCGCUAGCCUUUCGAGCAUUCAAGGUAGAAGAAGAUUAAAUACCAAGUGAACCUGAAAAUUUGCCUUAUGAGAGAUAUGAUCCACUGGGGAAAAGAUGGUGUCAACUCCAC
Molecule: long non-coding RNA, 1478 nt
Organism: Vicia villosa (hairy vetch)
Lineage: Eukaryota; Viridiplantae; Streptophyta; Magnoliopsida; Fabales; Fabaceae
Exons: 3
Source: RefSeq, a predicted model, not a curated record